This 4662-nucleotide long non-coding RNA is filed under the name Brassica napus (rape). RNAcentral describes it as "long non-coding RNA (BNAP_LNC022118)". Lineage: Eukaryota; Viridiplantae; Streptophyta; Magnoliopsida; Brassicales; Brassicaceae. The record is from RNAcentral.
CGACUGUUCUUGAAAUUGGUAGGAGUGUGGAGAGGAGUAGGAGGAAGAGGAGAGAAGAGAGGAGGCUUUGAAACUUGUAGGUCUUCUUCAUGUUGAAAUUUAGUUUUGAUUUUUGUUUCUGAGAGAGUUGAAAUUUGAUGUUAUUGCAUUCAUUUAUAUAGAGGUUUUGUCAUGAUAUACAUAAAACAUUUAUGUUGAUUAGGUUAGUAUCUAGUGACUUUCACAAGAGUUAACAGGGCAGUGCCCCCAAUAUGCAUUUAAGUAAAGCAUUCACUGUUCUUGAAGUGUACAAUUUCCUUAAAUGCUCUUUCUGGUAUAUUUUUAUUUUUGGUCAAGUCAUCUUUUUAUUCCAUCAAUAUACAUAUAAAACAUAUUACUGUAAAUAAAACAUUUUCCGGUAACAUAGAAAAAUGGUAGAAAAUUAUGAGUUCUGGUUAGCUUGUAGAAUUUCACAAAAUAAUUAUACGGAAAAUUGAAUUUAGUUAUGGUCUCUGAAGGAAUCCAAAGAAGUGUUCUGUAAAAGUUAUUCGUUUGGAUCGAAAAGCCUUAUGGAAUUUUCGUUAUGAUUUUUUUGGUUUUAUUUGAAAAUGAAAGUAAAAACCAAACCACAGUUUUACAGUUUAGCAAACCAAGAUUUUCCAAUAUUUAAAAAUCUGUGGUUUCUAAACGAUGAAGUGUAUAAUUUAUUUCGUCACAAACUAACAUUUAAGUUUUGUUCAUGCGCAUGAAACAAAUAUUUGUAUAGAUAAUAACGAGCUAGAUUGCAAAUUAGAAAAUACUCUGAAAAGAGUAACGUAAAGAACCAAAAAAAAUGUCUACACAAAUAAAUGAGGCGAAGACGGAAGAACCAAUAUAUGAAGAAAUUAAAUCAAGAACAAAUAGUAGACACAAAAAUGAAACAAUAAUGAAUACAUAAUAUGUUACUCUUCUUCCAGUAACUUUUGCGAUGGAUCAUAGCCAGUUCUUGCGAAUGUCGAAGGUGUAGUUGUUCUCCAAAUAGCACUUGUCAUCAUCGUCGACGAACUGAAUGACAUACACAUAGUUAUUUGGCAAACUAAAGAUGAUUUUAUUAGUUUUAACUAACACCAUGAUACUAACUAAUAGAUUAUGGAUAAAUGAUGAUAAGUAAAUAGAAAUUUAAUUAUAUACUUUUGGUACCUUAGAUUUAACAGAAUAGGAACCUCUAACAAGCAUACCAGACGGUGUUGAUUCUUCAAACAUGACAUGGGUAUACGGUUCGGCCUGUGGACUAAACGUUCCUAACAUCUCCUUUCUACCAUACACUGUUCUCAACAAAUGAGUAAGAAAAAUAAGUUAGAGAAACAGCUUCAAAACUCAUUGACAUAAUGGUACACGAGUGCGCUAAAAGCAAAAGAAAAAUGUACCCUUGAUUCCAGUCUUCCAAACACUAUUGCUGUAUCGGAGACCGGACACAAUGUUGUUGGUCACACGGAAAGUAAAUACGAGAGUGUACUUAGAGCCUUCUUUGAGGGUAAACCAUGGUCCUUUGGAUGUCGGUUUUCCGUCUUCAGGGACCGUCAAUACCAUGUCUUCUCUAUCAGGUGACCUAAUUGUUAAGUUCAAUAUCUUCACCACCGGAUCAGGAGUCUCUGUAUUUACAUUUUGUUAUUCUAUCAAAACAUUACAAAUCCAUAUCUAAAGAAUUUCUUUGAAAAACACCAUUUAAUGUGAGGUAGUUACUGAAAUGGAGCAGAACCAUUAAUUACACCAAAUGAUGACAUUUUUUGCCCUUUUGCAGAAAAAUAUCGUAUUGUUACUUGGUCUAGUCUUAUGUUACGUUAAUUCACUCUACAAUUAUUAAUCGACCUUUCCCCCUAACAUUGCCUAUAAUUUAAGUAUUACGCAUGAGGCAAGAGACAUGGAAUUUAGGACAUUACAAUUGUAAUCAAUGGAACUCCUCUAAACCGGAUUUAGUUGUCAUUAAACCUUAGAUCUAAUCGGGAUUGAAAGUUGGUUAACUACCUCCAACUUCCUCAAGAUCCACUUUGCCUAGAAGUUGUUCUUUCCAUCUCAUUAAGCUUUCAUCAUCCUACACAUUUUUUCAUGGUACAAAAAAGUGAUUAGAUUAUAAACAAAAUUCACCCAUUAUCAUAUAGGUUAGAUACAUAAUAUUAAAAGAAUAAAGACCAAGUAUAUAUAUAUAUAAGAUUAGCAUUUGUGAACCAACAUAGUGGCAUAACCAAAGUGCUAUUAUAAUUUUUGAAAACAGGAUGAGAGAUAAAAAAAAACCUUGUCUUUCUCGAACUGUUCUUUGAGAGCGAUCAUGGGACCAAGUUCAAGCUUCUUGUCUUCGUCUUCUUCGUCAUCUUCUGUCGGACACAAAGAGCUGUGGCUGUUCUUUCUGCUUAACGUCCAUUGUCCCUUUGGAUCUUCUGCGGACUCUUCAGCUUUGUUAUUCUCAUCUUUCAAACCCAUCUUGUUCUCUUUUGGUUCUAUGAUUUGAUUUGAAUACUAGAAAAUCUAAAUCGUUAGAUUUUAUGGAGAUGGUUAAUCAACCGAGUUUAGUGAGGAGACAACCAAAUAAAAAAUUGAAGAGUUUGUUUUCUCUUUGGGUCAAAAAAUGAGAAGAGAAUAAUAAGAACAAAGAGAGUUCAGAGACAGACAAUAAGAUGGAAACGUUUGGUAUUUUGGUCUGCGGAAUGUUUUUUUUUUUUUUGAAAAAAGGCUUUGGUCUGCGGAAUGUUUAAAUAUGGAAAUUCCAAGAAAAGGUCAUGCGGUGAUCCUAAAUUAAGCUUCUAAUCUUCCCGUUCACAUGAUUUAUUAUCUAAAAAUAAACGGUACAAUAUAGCUAAGUUUGCAUACGUACAUGAAUCUGAAUAUAUACAUGCAUGCACGCAGGGCCGGACCUGGGCUAAAGCCCAUAAAGCAAAAGCUUUAGGCGACAAAAUCUAUAUAUAUUAUAUGGGCGCCAAAAUCUAAUGAAAUCACUUUAGCUUAGUGGCUUGUGCUCUCUUCCUUCCUUUGAACAGGUAAGACCAUGUUUAUCGCAGAUCCUUAACAGGAUUCUUAAGGUAAUAAACUGAUUUAAUUAAAUGUAAACAAAAUAAAAAAGCAAUUAUCGAUCCUUAAGUAAGAGUUUUGGGGAUCGGUUUUUAGGUUGGUUUUAUUGCACGUGUCAGCACACAAAUACUCCUGUUUUUUUUUCUUUGUUUUUUUCUCCUUCUUCGCUCGUCUUCGCCGUUCCCUCGUCUCCUCCUUCUUUGAUCAUCAUCAUCAGGUGGGUUUACCGGUUCUGGAUUCGCGGAGCUGAAGCCGGAGCUUGCGACGAGCCUCCUGGUAAAGACUACUCUGUCCAGAAGAUGAUCCUCGGCACCCACACUUCAGAGAAUGAACCCAAUUACCUCAUGAUAGCUCAGGUCCAGCUUCCCCUUGACGACACCGAGAGCGAAGCUCGUCAAUACGACGACGAACGGUCCGAGUUCGGUGGGUUUGGCUGCGCCACCGGAAAGGUUUGAUCUUUAUUGAGUUUUAGAGUUCCGCUGAGUUGAGUGAAUAUUAAAGUCGAUUACUUUGUUCCAUUGAGUUGAAUGAAUAUUUAAAGUCGAUUACUUUGUGUGUAGGUGCAAAUUAUUCAGCAGAUAAACCACGAAGGGGAGGUGAACCGAGCUCGGUACAUGCCUCAGAACCCUUUUGUGAUUGCUACCAAGACGGUUAACGCGGAGGUGUAUGUGUUUGAUUACAGCAAGCAUCCGUCUAAGCCGCCGCUUGAUGGAGCUUGUAACCCUGAUUUGAGGCUGAGAGGUCACAGCUCUGAGGGGUAUGGCUUCUCUUGGAGUAAGUUCAAGGCGGGGAUAUUAACGCUACUCCUAAAAACAAGGUCAUUGAUGCUCAGCAGAUCUUUAAGGUAAUGCUUUGAUUCGUGGAGAAGCAAUUGUAAAGUUUAUAGACAGAUAUUAAGUGUGAUUCAUGUGUUUACCGUACACCUGUUUGGAUCCGUUGGAGAUGAUCAGUACAUUUCUUAUAUGGGAUCUGCGUUCUCCAUCUGCCAGUAAACCUAUACAGUCUGUGGUUGCUCACUCCAUGGAGGUGCUUUGCAAUGAACUGAAUUUUAAGAGCAGAGAAGGUUCUCCAAUAACAGAGGUAGAGCCAUACAUACCUUUUAACAUUAACCCAGCAGGGAUGCAGCCUGUUCUUACAACCACUUACCUCUUGGCAUUUCCCAGCAUUCUUGCAAGGUAAAGAACCCGUUAUGUUUGAAACAUUAUUGCUUCGUAUGGUGUAUUUACCAUCUUAAGGUUGUCUAAUAAGAUGAUUUUAUUGUUUUUUAGCAUUGUGGGUUCACCGUUCUUGUUACACGUGAAGGAUAUAUUAAACCCUGAAAGCACAGUUGGGGCACCGCCAUGGGUUUACUACUCAGUCUAUGCGUUUUUCGUGUUUCUCUUCAACAUCUUUGACAUAUGUCGUCAGCCAGCGCCGGAGCUGACAGCGACUGUUCUUGAAAUUGGUAGGAGUGUGGAGAGGAGUAGGAGGAAGAGGAGAGAAGAGAGGAGGCUUUGAAACUUGUAGGUCUUCUUCAUGUUGAAAUUUAGUUUUGAUUUUUGUUUCUGAGAGAGUUGAAAUUUGAUGUUAUUGCAUUCAUUUAUAUAGAGGUUUUGUCAUGAUAUACAUAAAACAUUUAUGUUGAUUAGGUUAGUAUCUAGU